CAGUAGCCGCGGUAAUACGAAGGGUGCAAGCGUUAAUCGGAAUUACUGGGCGUAAAGCGCGCGUAGGUGGUUUGUUAAGUUGGAUGUGAAAGCCCCGGGCUCAACCUGGGAACUGCAUCCAAAACUGGCAAGCUAGAGUACGGUAGAGGGUGGUGGAAUUUCCUGUGUAGCGGUGAAAUGCGUAGAUAUAGGAAGGAACACCAGUGGCGAAGGCGACCACCUGGACUGAUACUGACACUGAGGUGCGAAAGCGUGGGGAGCAAACAGGAUUAGAUACCCGUGUAGUCCCUGUCUCUUAUAC
Molecule: ribosomal RNA, 301 nt
Filed under: uncultured bacterium
Lineage: Bacteria
Description: partial 16S ribosomal RNA
Rfam family: Bacterial small subunit ribosomal RNA
Source: RNAcentral